This 253-nucleotide ribosomal RNA is filed under the name uncultured bacterium. Its description in RNAcentral is "partial 16S ribosomal RNA". It matches the Rfam family "Bacterial small subunit ribosomal RNA", at positions 524 to 776 of the family's 1533-position model. The record is from RNAcentral.
AACGUAGGAGGCAAGCGUUAUCCGGAUUUACUGGGCGUAAAGCGCGUGUAGGCGGUUCAGAAAGUUGGAUGUGAAAGCUCCUGGCUUAACUGGGAGAGGUCGUUCAAAACUACUGAACUAGAGUAUGGGAGAGGGAGGUGGAAUUCCGGGUGUAGUGGUGAAAUGCGUAGAUAUCCGGAGGAACACCAGUGGCGAAGGCGGCCUCCUGGCCCAAAACUGACGCUCAGACGCGAAAGCUAAGGUAGCAAACGGG